This 4357-nucleotide long non-coding RNA is filed under the name Sus scrofa (pig). Its description in RNAcentral is "lncRNA (ENSSSCG00055007701.1)". The record is from RNAcentral. Lineage: Eukaryota; Metazoa; Chordata; Mammalia; Artiodactyla; Suidae.
GGAUCCGGCAUUGCUAUGAGCUGUGGUGUAGCUCACAGAUGUGGCUCAGAUCCCUUGUUGCUGUCGCUGUGGCGUAGGCCAGAAGCUGUAGCUAUGAUGGGCCCCUGGCCUGGGAACCUACAUAUGCUGCAGAUGCAGCCCUAAAAAGACAAAAAAAAAAAAAAAAUAAUAAUAAUAAUAAAUAAGAAUAAAAAAAAUAAUCCUUUCCCAUCAAUUACAUGUGCAGAAUUCCUUUAGCAUAGAAUAACUAAUGCACAUCUACUCUCAGAAAACAGGGCUGGACCAGUCUGCAUUUAAAAUGGGCACACAAGGUACAAAUGACCUAAUGAAAUUUAGGAGCCUGAAUUCGCUGUUGCAUAAUGAGAAAGAACAGGAGGAAGGAUAAAGUACUAUAUUCAGGACUAACCCAAACACAAGUGACCAAGCAGUACAGAAACACUAAACAGUGACAUAAUGUCAGCAAUAUAGCCCUUAACACUGCUGCUAUGACCAGCUUUACCUCCCCUCUAUUGCUCAUAUGUCCCUUUCUUCUCAUGGUCACUGAUGUGAGUGAACAAUGACUCUGACAGUGACCCUCAAUCCCUUGUCAUGAGUCCUCCCUAACAGGCUUGGGAAUCUGUUUCUUGUGACAUUAAAAAUGAGACAACACCUCAAACACAAAUGAAAAGGACAAGGGGAGGGGUCAGGCCCACUGGACCGAGACCCGGGUACAUGAUGGCCAACCCUACAAAUGACACAAUCUUACUAAAGACUGGUCCUGACCUCGUGCAUUCAUGGAAAUACUGGCCUUUCAUCUCGAGGGACAGAGAAGCACCUUGGCCCACCUGCAACUCAAAUGCAUGAUGUUCUGUGCACCAACCGCUUAAGUACCAAUUACAUAUCAAAGAGCGGAUUUUGGAAAAAAAAGUUCCCUGGGAAGCUUCCCUUCCUCAAAGCUUUUCAAGGGUCCCAGUGUCCAGGCAUUGCAAUUAUUUAAUGAUUUAAUAAAGCAUGCAGUUCUUCUCCACUGGGGUCCUAUCUGGAAUAGAUGCUGUUAUCUUUGGGAUUUUUUGUCUUUAUACAUCAGUAAAUUGCCAAACACCCAAGUUUUUCCCGGGUUGCCUGGACAAGACACAAAUGUCAUCUUCAUUCUAUUUCUUCAUCAAUCAAUCCUGUCCACAUCUGCAGUCCGGUGAGGCAGAACCACUAUGGCAGAGCUGAAAGCAAGAGAGGCUGCCCCAUUUAGGAGAUGAGCAUCCAGGCAACGUCUGUGGAUAAUCAGCACCAAAGGCAGAACUUGGGCUCACAUCCAUGUGCAGAAAGAGCCAUCAGCAAAGUCAAGAAUCAGCUCCUGUCUGUGCUUCUACCAAGAAGGAGAAACUUCUAGUAUUUUCAUUUUAUACUAAGUGAAGUAAGUCAGAAAGAGAAAAGAUAAAUACCAUAUGGUAUCACUUAUAUCUGGAAUCUAAUAUAUGGCAGAAAUGAACUUACCUAUAGAAAAGAAACAAACUCAUGGACUUGGAGAAUAGACUUGUGGUUGUCAAGGGGGAGGGGGAGGGAGUGAGAUGGACUGGGAGUUUGGGGUUAGUAGAUACAAACUAUGGUGUUUGGAGUGGAUAAGUAAUGAGAUCCUGCUCUAUAGCACAGAGAACUAUAUCUAAUCACUCAUGAUGGAACAUGAUGGAGGAUAAUGUGAGAAAAAGAAUAUAUAUAUAUAUAUGUAUAUAUAAAACUGGGUCACUUUGCUGUACAGAAAUUGACAGAACAUUGUAAAUCAACUAUAAUUUAAAAAUUUAAAAAAUAAAACAAAGAUGAUAGUAUCCCUCUGAUAGUCCUGAAUGGAAAAAAAAAAUAAGUCAGAAGAUAUAUUAAAAAUGCAUCAUUCAGCAUCUGACCUGAUAAGAUGCAAAAAGCAGUAGUACUUACUAUUUUGAUAAAUAGUGCCUAAAAUGUCCCUUCUUAAAAACACAAGCCUAUGAUAACUCAUCCAAAGUUGUGAAAUUAAACCAACUUAUACUGACUAGGGAAUAAUGAAUAAUACAGGGAUCAUGAAAAGGAGCAUGGGGUGGAUGACCCCUGUCUUCAAAUGUCCCAUGUAAUCCUCAAAAGGGAGUGACCUCUGACAAGAUCUGUGCCCAGGUACCCCUGUGAAAGGUUGUUAUAUGACAUCUCCUGAAGCUGUUCUUAACCCAAGUUUAGCCUUCACGAAAACACACACACACACACACACACACACACACACACACACACACACACACACUUCUAUUAGCAGAAAGUUUUUGGGGUAGAUAUUUAAAAUGAAAUAAAGGUGAAGUGGAAUGGUGCUUAGGGCAGAGCAAGGGGACAGAUGUACUUCAACCUGGAGAUGAUUCGGGAAGUGAGACAUCUAGAGGAGGGGAAUGAGGUAGGAUGUAGAAAGAAGGAGCCAUGCUUAUAUCAAAUAUUUCAGUCCCUCAUCUGAGUGUUGGGUCACUUUGGUCACCAGUGUCAUGAAGCGUCUUGGGGGAAUUCAGUCACUCAGGACCACUUGUCAAGCCUUUCCUAGCUAUUCAGCCUCCAAAUUCAAGUCCAAGGGAGAAAGCAGGGUGGAGAGAGAUACAGCUGGGCAGGGGACACACUGCUUCAUUCCAGGAGGACCAGUCUAAUCAGAGCCUAUGUAACAGUAUCCCCCAGGGAGUGGGUCUGGCAGGCUAUACAAAAUUAUAAGCAGAGGGCCGUAAAUUGUCAGUGACACUGCAAGGCACCUAUGCACUGCACCAAUGCACUGCCGGACACUAACAAAUACAUCUGAACAAUUAGCACCCCAAGCUUCAGGGCUGCUGUGUGACUUUGAACCUCCAGGAAAUAAUCUCAGGAUCCACCCAUCAUAGGGUAUGGCCUCCUCAAGGGAGUUCUAUUCUAACCAUGUCCUUAUCUCUUUGUCACUAAGUCACAGAUUUUUACUCUUCUAAUUGGACCUAGGGUAAAAUCACAGACCCAUCAAGAAAGAACAACUAUAAUUACCCCAAGGAGCUGUUUGGCUUAAACCCUGCAAUCUAGGCAUUUUCCACGAAAUACACAGUCCCAUUAGCUGAAGCCACUGAAAGCCAUCAUAAAGGUGGAAUAUCUCAACACUUACCUGAUAAAAAAUUAUUCAACUUUUCGAAGGACUUAUAUUGGGAAUGAUCAAUUAAAAAGCAUGAUAGAAAAAAUUAAUUAUACAGGAAAAGGUUAAUGACACAUUUCCUGAAUUGAGAUCAAGGAUGAGUCUUAGAAUCUAAUUAGCGUUGUUUGUUUCUGUUAUAGCUAUUAUUUAAAAACAACAGGAAUCCGCCAUCAGAUAAACAUUAAGAGUAUAUUCAAAGGAAAUUGAAAUUGAUUUUGUCCAAACUUGCACUAGGAUCAACAAAUUUCAUUUAUGUAGGAUCCCAUUGCUUUGACUCAUGGCUGGAUGGGAUACAAAGUAACUAUUUUAAUAAAAUCUAAUUCUGCAGGGGAAAAAAAUCAUCAUCCUAGAUUUAUGCCUCAGUUAGUGGGAGAAUAAGUCUGACAGAACCAUUACAUGUUAUUCUAUAUACAUAGCUGUUUUCAUUGAAGUUACUUCAAGAUGUUUUCCUUCCACAGCAAUGGAGAAUUUUUUUUCAAAAAAAUUAAAAAUAGGGAAUUGCUGCUAUAAAACAUAUACAUCGCAAAGGACUCAUAUUCUGCAUUUUUCUUAAACCACUUACCAUAAAACCUUCAUUUUUUAUGGCCAAGUCGGUACUGAUUUCAUGAUUUGCAGGCAGAAACAACUGAUUUCAUAGCAUCAGUCAGUCAUAAAUCUUAAGAACCUAAAUUCUGAAUCCCAAAGCCAGGGCCCAAAGACACAAAUGAGAUUUCUCCCCACAAAUCGUGACUCGUGUUUGCAGCUUUGAUUAAAGGGAACAAAGUUGAAAAUGGAAACUCUGUCCUCUUUUCCACUGUUUAGAAAAACAUUUACGAUUUUUUUUCCAAAUGUAAGCCUUGACUAGGGUGCAGCUCUGGGAGUGGACCUGCUCAAAGGCUGUCAUCUGGGGACAGUGACACCUAAUCCAAAGAAAGGAGCCCUCCCCUGUCAGGUCACUCUCGGAGGCCAACAUUUAUGUUAUGGUGUGGCUCUCUUUAAGAAAGAUACUGGAGUUCCCAUCAUGUCACAGUGGAAACGAAUCCGACUAGGAACCAUGAGGUUGUGGGUUCGAUCCCUGGCCUCGCUCAGUGGGUUAAGGAUCUGGGGUUGCCGUGAGCUGUGGUGUAGGUUGCAGACUCGGCUCGGAUCGUGCGUUGCUGUGGCUGGCAGCUGUAGCUCCGAUGUGACCCCUACCCUGAGAACUUCCAUAUGCUGCAAGUGCAGCCCUAAAAAGCAAAAAAAAAAAAAAAAAAA